CUUGGCGACCAUAGUGUUGUGGACCCACCUGACUCUAUGCCGAACUCAGAAGUGAAACGUAAUAGCGCCGAUGGUAGUGUGGGGCUUCCCCAUGUGAGAGUAGGACAUCGCCAGGC
Molecule: ribosomal RNA, 116 nt
Filed under: Vibrio aestuarianus
Lineage: Bacteria; Pseudomonadati; Pseudomonadota; Gammaproteobacteria; Vibrionales; Vibrionaceae
Source: RNAcentral